AGGAUAAACGCUGGCGGCGUGCCUAACACAUGCAAGUCGAACGUCUCUUCUUUCGGGAAGAGGAGUGGCGGACGGGUGAGGAACACGUGGGAACCUGCCCUUUAGUGAGGAAUACCGGCGAGAAAUCGCCGACAAGACCGCAUAGCCCUCUUUGAUGAGAGUCAAAGAAGGAAAGCUUCGCAAGAGGCGCUAGAGGAGGGGCCUGCGUCCGAUUAGCUAGUUGGUGGGGUAAGAGCCUACCAAGGCGUCGAUCGGUAGCUGGUCUGAGAGGACGAUCAGCCACACUGGGAUUGAGAACGGCCCAGACUCCUACGGGGGCAGCAGUGAGGAAUUUUCGGCAAUGGGGGAAACCCUGACCGAGCAACGCCGCGUGCAGGAAGACGGCCUUGGUUGUAAACUGCUUUCUCGGGACGAGCAAGGACGGUACCCGAGGAAGAAGCCCGGCUAACUACGUGCCAGCAGCCGC
Molecule: ribosomal RNA, 466 nt
Filed under: uncultured bacterium
Lineage: Bacteria
Description: SSU rRNA
Rfam family: Bacterial small subunit ribosomal RNA
Source: RNAcentral